AAAUAUUUUAUGAUGCAAGAAAUGGUACAAUCCCAACUCGCUCGUCCCCACAAGAUAGAACUCACAUUUAAAAGCUCAAUUUAAUCGUGUUUCGAUAUGGGUUUGGAAAAAAAACUCCGAAGGUAAUUAGUUUCAACAUACCUCAAAUUGCUUCCAACCUUACCCCAAAUGAUCGAAUAAUGCUGACGAGUCACAAUCUACAUUUUUGAACUUGCAGAAUUUAAUAACGCGUCAUAACAAUACCAACUAACCCAAUUAAGUGUCUAACACUUUAAGUCCAAUUUCAUAAGUCUAGCAAAAAUCUCCAUUUCAUCAUUUGAAGGUAUAUCCUUGAAGUUUAACUCCAAAUCUUUUAUUAAAUAUAUUACGGGAUCUAGUAAUUUCACUAGAAGCUCAAAAUAAUAUUUUUCAAACAAGACCUAACACUAUUCAUCAUUCCUAUCAACAAACUCUUCUAGGGUCUCAUGAAUAGAUGUUUAAAAACAAUCCUACCUUCAUAAAUACACUCUACAACGUUUAUGGAGUGUAAUACCUAAGCUUCUUGGAGUGUUCUUGAGAUUUACUUCAAGAAUCUAUAUUUUUCAUGUAAUUGAAGAGUUAAGAGAUGUAUUUAAUGGACCAAAUCUACCAUUAAGGAUAUUAAAUUUUUACCUUGAAGAAGUAGUAAUGGUAGAGAGCUCCCUUCUCUCUCUCUCUAAGUCUUUAAGAACCGACUCCCAAAUAAUUGAACAACCCUUGCCCAUAAUAGCCUUUAAAGACAUUCAGCAGAUUAAAGACGUAAAUGAUACGUCGCAUCUCCAUCGCGCGCAUCCUUCUCAUUCAGCAAAUUUGGACGUGAGGUUUGACGCCUACAAUGCAGUUCACUGCUCAAAUGAUGGGCUUUUGCCUC
Molecule: long non-coding RNA, 889 nt
Filed under: Nicotiana benthamiana
Lineage: Eukaryota; Viridiplantae; Streptophyta; Magnoliopsida; Solanales; Solanaceae
Description: long non-coding RNA (NBEN_LNC009520)
Source: RNAcentral